AGCAUUAACAUAUUGCUUGACAUGCAUCAAGAUGUACUAUUGGCAAGAUUUUGUGGAGAAGGGGUUCCAGAUUGGACCAUUGAUCCAGAAGUUGCUAAGAAUUUUCCAGAGCCAUUAUCUCGUCGAUACAUAGUUGAUAAUGUAACAGGCCAUCCAACAUCAGAGGAUUGUGCUAAGCAUGCUUGGGCUGAGUAUUAUCCAACUGAAGCAACUAGUGCAAUGUUCUAGCAGAUUUAUGACAACAAAAAUGGUCUUUUGGAUGAGCUGAAAGAAUUUUGGGUCAAAGUUGCCACUGAAUU
Molecule: long non-coding RNA, 299 nt
Organism: Amphimedon queenslandica
Lineage: Eukaryota; Metazoa; Porifera; Demospongiae; Haplosclerida; Niphatidae
Exons: 4
Source: RefSeq, a predicted model, not a curated record